ACGGAGGAUCCAAGCGUUAUCCGGAUUUAUUGGGUUUAAAGGGUGCGUAGGCGGACUAAUAAGUUAGUGGUGAAAGCCCGGGGCUCAACUCCGGAACUGCCAUUAAUACUGUUAGUCUUGAAUCAACUUGAAGUGGGCGGAAUAAGGCAUGUAGCGGUGAAAUGCAUAGAUAUGCCUUAGAACACCGAUUGCGUAGGCAGCUCACUAAAUUUGUAUUGACGCUGAGGCACGAAAGCGUGGGGAGCGAACAGG
RNAcentral lists this ribosomal RNA (252 nucleotides) under uncultured bacterium. Its description in RNAcentral is "partial 16S ribosomal RNA". It matches the Rfam family "Bacterial small subunit ribosomal RNA", at positions 525 to 776 of the family's 1533-position model. The record is from RNAcentral.